Molecule: long non-coding RNA, 3856 nt
Filed under: Triticum aestivum (bread wheat)
Lineage: Eukaryota; Viridiplantae; Streptophyta; Magnoliopsida; Poales; Poaceae
Description: long non-coding RNA (TAES_LNC010780)
Source: RNAcentral
GGCAUCAGUAUACAGAAUUGCAUUGCAUAAGCUGAGAAACUUUGUGGCUCUCAUUUUGAUAUGGAACCGAAUUGUCUACAGCAGCACUGAAGAUGAUGCUGGUUGGUUUCGCAUUCCAAUUGAUAAGGUGGGCGAAAGCCUCUUUCUAAGCAGUCACUCUGGCACGACUCAUGAGUGCAACCCGCUAAAUCUCUGCAUGAGCGUCGUUGAACUACAAUGCAAUACAUCACAUAAUAAAACAAAUUAGUAAUACAGUCCAUAAAACAAAAAAAAUUGCUCAUAGAUUAAUUAAUUUCAACAUUUGGAAACAACAUGUAAAAUAUAAAUAAUGUUGCUUACUUGCUUGGCAGGACGACAACGUUGAGAACAUGAACACAAUGACCAAUAAAGCAACAGCUAUGUUGUACACGACCAUCAUUGUGUUUCUCUUGAUGAGUGCCAUGAGGAAAAAUGUGACUUAUGUUCGAUCUUUGUUUUUCAUUUCCAAGCACCUUUACAGGUGUUUAUAUAGACACACAAUAAAAUCUUAGAUAUCAAUUGGUUGAUUUCAUGCAUUUAUGUACCUCCCCUAAUUAUUAUAAGUGUAUCUUGCUAGUUUUACAUAAAUACCAAAGAUUUUAUUUUAGAAAAAAUUAUAUAUUUCAAUAUUAUGGCAUUUAAUGUUGAAGAUAACAUAUUGAGCCAAAAUAAAAUCUUUAGGUAUCGGCACUACAUUUAUGUCUCCAUUAUAAAAUAGUACCCAUACCGAUCUUGUUGGCUAUUUUGUAUCAUCCACACUUAUGUAAGUAUAUCUUACAUUUAUUUUACAUUAUUUUUUGUGUGGUAUAUUGUUUUAGUAUAUACAGAGGCUUGCACAAUCAAAUCUUAUGCAUUGAUGAAUCUUGCAUAUACGAGAUCUCAAAAAUAAAUAUUGCUGUUGUACUCCAUACUCAAGAAUAUUAGGUAUCAUUAUUGCACUUUUUCUGCUAAAUUAAUGUCAAUGUAUCUUACUGAGUCUUAAUAAAUAUCAUGCAAUCGUUUGUAUAUGUUAUAAUUAUUGAUAUUAUUUUUUGCGGCAUUUAUUGACCUCUAUUAUAUGGUGGCAUACAUAAUUAUUGAUAUUGCUUCUUUUCGCUUCAUUUGUAUUAUACAUUGUUAUAAAUUUUGCAUUUAUAUCCUAUCAACAAUAAAUAAAUGCUUGGACAAACGUAAGCUUGUACAUACUGACGACUAUGCAGCCCGUAUGUAGCAACACCAUUGUAGUAAACAUUUCAGAGUUUUUCCCGUUAUGCUUAUAAUCGGCUAUAAUAAUUGAUCUUUGAUGUUUCAUGCUUCAGGGUAUUUAUAAAAAUGUCCCCUGUUUUAUUGAACAAAUGGAAGGGCACAACAACCAAGAUCUUUCUUGUGGGUCUUGCAUAAUUGUAGACUGAUUACAUGGUUUCAUGCUUAUGCACAUCUUAUUAUUCCUAAGUUAAAGUAGGAUUUGCAGUGCUUUAUGCUUGAGUUGAUGUAUGUCAUCUGAAGUAGAAUGGAGCCUGAACCAAGUUGUAUGACUCAUUUUCACUAGGUGCACAUACUGCUGCUCUUCUAUAUGGAAUGUGAUACUGGGGUAUUAAUACUUAGUGUUGCUAUCUCAGAUAUUGCUAAAAAAAUCUCCGGUUUUGUAACUUGGUACGCUUUAGUGGUGCAAUACUUUUCAACUAUUUGCACCUUUUAUUUAAAAGCAUUGUAACCCGUUGACGCUGAAAAGUGGCACGAUCAUAAAGAGUAGCUUGAACUAUGUCAAGAUUAAUUCAAAAUUAUUGUUGAAUUCACUAUGGGAUGGAUCUCUUCGAGAAGAUCAAAAUGGAUAUGAAGAUGGUCUAAAACAGAGCCCGAAUGCAAAAGUUGUGACAAGUUCAAAGAUUGGAUAUAGUAUCGACCGUAUGGUCUCGAUAGCCGUACCGGGACUAAAGGUAUUGGGUUUUAGCGCCGACCCUAUAGUCCCGGUUCCCAGACCAGGACAAAUGGGCCUCAUGAACUGGGACAAAUGGGCCUUUUUCUACUAGUGCAUAUUGGUCCUGCCCAAUAAAUAUUUCAGAAAUUCAUAAUAAAUCCUAGAGGCUAGCUUGGACCAUUCACGCAUGUCAAUAGGUGGGACUAAAGUUUAGUCCUAUAUUGCUAGUUGAGAGAGAGUUACACCUCCUCAUAAGGUGAGCUCUUUCCCCACUUGUAUGAGCAUGAUAAAAAGAGAGGUUCUCACGCGCUCCUCCUCUGCCGCCUGCCUCGCCUCACCUUGCCUCAUCACGACACACUGCGUCACGCCACGGGCUGCGGGAAUGCCUAGAGCAUGCAUGAAGCUGAAGCGUUUUGCUGCUGUAGUUAGUGGAGAUUGGUUACGAGGUUUGUUGGGCUUUGGCUGCUACGUCUCCAUCUCCCGUCUCUUUGUUUCAUUUCCCGUCGCAGCCUAUUUGCCUCCUCUUUCUGUGCUUAUAAAAUAGAGGUCUCUCCUCUCCAUAGACACACAGAAACAGAGCAUCACUUGCCUCCUACUACCAAGUUCCAUAGCACUGCGCUACCAGGUUCUUCCUCAUCCCAGCUUACGGCGUGCACCGCUGAUAGGGGAGAAUGAACACGUCCUAUACAGCCUAUUUGCCUCCUCUUUCUGUGCUUAUAAAAUAGAGGUAUCUCCUCUCCAUAGACACACAGAAACAGAGCACCACUUGCCUCCUACUACCAUGUUCCAGAGCACUACGCUACCAGGUUCUUCUCCAUCCCGGCUUAUGGCGUGCAUCACCGAUAGGGACAGUAGGCCUCCGGAACCACGCGACAUUGAGUCAUGCACGGGUGAAGGGAAAUAAGGUGUUUGGGGAGCGCUCUGUGCGACUACUGGCUUCUCCACCCCAGAUGUCGCUACAGAUGUUGAAGACACUUUCCCCAAUGAUGAAUUCUUUUAGGACAUCGGCAACCUCUUCGGUAACAAGGGCGACAGCAUCGUGAAUGGUGCCGCCCCUGCUCCUGUCUAGGACGUGUUCAUUCUCCGCUAUUUAAUAUGUUUUUUCCUGAUUUUAGUUCAAUUUCCUGUUCUAGUAAUUGGACUAGAUAUGCCUUGUUCAAAUUCACUACUACAUAUGUUAUUUUCUCACUCUCUAUUAGACUACAUGUCUAGUUUAAUCUUUACUAUUAUGGUCAUGUUUUAUCUACUAUUUUUAUGUAUUAAAUCAUAUGGUAGACUGCUCAUAUUUCCAACACGCCCCAUGUACAUGUAUGGGUGUAACAAACACAUCCUAUGUGGUCAGUCUUCCUUCAUUAAAAUGUUCCAUGGCAAUCCAAUGAGAUUGAUGCCUCUAAUACCUAUGUUUAUAAGUUUAUUCAAUUAUUGGCAUCAGUAUACAGCAUUGCAUUGCAUAAGCUGAGAAACUUUGUGGCUCUCAUUUUAAUAUGGAACUGAAUUGUCUACAGCAGCACUGAAGAUGAUGCUGGUUGGUUUCACAUUCCAAUUGAUAAGGUGGACGAAAGCCUCUUUCUAAGCAGUCACUCUGGCACGACUCAUGAGUGCAACCCGCUAAAUCUCUGCAUGAGCGUCGUUGAACUACAAUGCAAUCCAUCACAUAAUAAAAAAAAUUAGUAAUACAGUCCAUAGAACAAAAAUAUUUGCUCAUAGAUUAAUUAAUUUCAACAUUUGGAAACAGCAUGUAAAAUAUAAAUAAUGUUGCUUACUUGCUUGGCAGGACGGCAACUUUGAGAACAUGAACACAAUGACCAAUAAGGCAACAGCUAUGUUGUACAUGACCAUCCUUGUGUUUCUCUUGAUGAGUGCCAUGAGGAAAAAUAUGACUUAUGUUCAAUCUUUGUUUUUCAUUUCCAAGCUCCUUUACAGGUGUUUAUAUAGACGCAC